Trematomus bernacchii (emerald rockcod) is the source of this 180-nucleotide long non-coding RNA. RefSeq lists it as uncharacterized. Lineage: Eukaryota; Metazoa; Chordata; Actinopteri; Perciformes; Nototheniidae. The transcript is spliced from 3 exons. The record is from RefSeq and is a predicted model, not a curated record.
AGAUCUUCUGGAGAGUCCAGAAUGCAGACUGGAGACUCUCAGGAUCAAUGGUGAGACGAUCAGAGCCAAGAAACAGAAGUUCAAGGCAGGACAUGUCCCAGAGAAAUGUCCCAUCAGAUGACAGAGUCCCAGCAGAGAGCAGAGUCCCAGCAGAGAGGAAUGUCCCAGCAGAGAGCAGAG